CGCGUAGACGGUUUUUUAAGUCUGGAGUGAAAGUCCUGCUUUCAAGGUGGGAAUUGCUUUGGAGACUGGAAGGCUUGAGUGCGGAAGAGGAUAGUGGAAUUCCAAGUGUAGCGGUGAAAUGCGUAGAUAUAGGAAGGAACACCAGUGGCGAAGGCGACCACCUGGACUGAUACUGACACUGAGGUGCGAAAGCGUGGGGAGCAAACA
RNAcentral lists this ribosomal RNA (207 nucleotides) under uncultured bacterium. Its description in RNAcentral is "partial 16S ribosomal RNA". It matches the Rfam family "Bacterial small subunit ribosomal RNA", at positions 568 to 774 of the family's 1533-position model. The record is from RNAcentral.